CGAAUCGGAGUUGUAACGAAGAAGAUACGAUCAAAAUACCGUGAAGGGCAAAAUAGUAAUUUGGCCAAAAAGUCAGAUUUUUAACCCUUUUUCCUUCUCUCUCUCCUCAUUUCUCUCUCCUCCCGAUUUUUGCUCCAGCCGCCCGACCUUUCCUCCUUCUCCUUGACGCCACGGCCGCCACACUUGGAACCGAUCUCCACCGUUGGUACCAAACGAACCAGCACUCGACCGCCGACGUUUCUUGACCCUUCGCCGGAGUUUCCGUGGCCGGAACUCGCCGGAAAACUCCAUUUUCGCCGGAUUUCCAGUUUGAACUUUGAGCUCGAUUUUCUCCUUCAAUUCUCCACCAAAUCGAUCGAGUAAGGUAUGGUUUCUCAGCUAUUUUUCGUGUUCUAGCUAAUGGAUGUAUGGGUUUCGAUCGAUUUUAGCUCUAAAGGGUUCGAUUUUCGACUUGAAAAUUGGCCGAAACUUCGGCCGCCGUAAUCUACUGUUUUCGAUCACUUUUUGGGGUAUGUCUAAGAACAAAAGUGACUCCAAAUGGGGUGUUUUACCUAGGAUAAGACUUUGGAGUCUUGGUUCCGAGAUUUUUCGGCCACUCGGUAUCGCUUUAGACAAUCGAAUCUGCCCGCGCGUGCUGGGGUGCGUGGGCGAGGGUGGUGGAGUAACUCUGGGCAGUUUUGAGAUCCUCGUGUCAUGACGAGCGCGUAGGAUUUCGCGGAUCUCGAUUCGGAGUCCGUUUGAGCCCCGAACGGAUUUUCCAUAUCGCGCAAUCCUUGGGUGCAGUGUCGUCAAAUCGUCGGAUCGCGCUGAAUUUCAGAUAUGUCGGUCUACAUGAUUUCAGGAUCGUGUAGGAUUCAACGGAUUGCGAAUCGCAGUCCUGGAUACUCCGAAAUCGCGAACCCUGGGGCUAGGGUUUGGAUUUUAAGCGAUAACGCGAUUUUGGCUAAUCCGACCGUCCGUUUCGGACCAAACUCGCAGAACAUGGUUCCUUCUCUGUAAGGAACCUUCAGAGGAGCCCAGAUUGGCCAUCGGAGACCGUGGACCCACGGGGUCCGGGAUCGGCCGAUCUGGCAGUAUAUCGCUUAGUAAGGCUUCGGGUCUCUUAAGGUCGUUCUAACUGUCUAAAAAGCUAAUGUGGGCAUAAGAGUAACUUUAAAAUGAGUGCACGUAUUUCCAGGAACCGGGGGCAGGGUGUUUAAUUUGAUUCUUUUUAUUCAGCAGUUUAUUGAUUUAUUAUUCAUGGAUAAUCAGGCACUAGAGGUCCAGUCGACCUGCAGGAAGGACCUUCGAAGGGUCCAAUUAGCUCGGACCAUCAGUGAGUGGACUUUCUUUCAUAACGAUUUUAUAUGCAUGAGUUAUAUCUUAAACGAUUUUAUAUGCAUGAAUUAUAUAAAUGAGAUUAUUUAAUUGAUUUUUUUUAUAAUGAGUUUAUACAAAUAAGCUUUUACAAAUUAGUUUAUAUGGGUUAAUGUCAUUAUUUGAUCUUGAAGAAGUUUUAUGAACUAUUCAUUUCGAACGUGAUCUGUGCUGUACAAUACUUUGAUUUACGUGUUGUUCAGUUAUUGAAGCUCAGUAAUAUAAAAAGCAGAGUUUGAGAAUUCUAUCAGAGGAGACAGCAGUUAAAUUUCAGUUUCACAAAAAGGCAGUGAGUUAUUAGAUUUUUCUAAAAAUAGUUUAUUUUAGAACCACCAUGUACCCACCCUUUACUUGGUGAUUACCCAGAGUUGGACCGAUGUCUACGGACAUCCAGUCCGAUUUCAGUUUAUGUCAGUGCACUUGACUUUGCCUCACGAGUUUCGGGGACGCUCGGACCGUGAGUGCCAGGAUUUGCGGCUCGGCAGACUUGGUGUCCCGAGACCUGCCAGGAUUGCGGCUCGGCUGACUCUGUGUCCCCGAGACCUGCCAGGAUUGCGGAUCAGGCUGACUACGGUCCCUGCAUCCUGCCAGAGCGACGCGAGCUGACUUGGUGUCAUCGAGGAAUCUGCCGGCGGAUCAGGCUGAUCAUAGUCCCCUGAUUUCGCCAGUUUGCGGCUCGGGUAGACUGCGUGGCGCCCGAGACCUGCCAGGGGAAUUGACGGAUAUGACAGGGGUACAAAUAGGUGGUAUUUUCAAAGGAUUUUGAGUUUUCUUUUAUUCGAUUAUGACUUUCAGUUAUUUUAUAUCAGUUUCUUUGAUAUUCAUGCAUUUAUAUCUUUACAUAUUUGUUCAGUUAUACGAGCACAUUCAUCAGUAGGUUUUUACAUGCUUAUUUGAAUACCUUGUAUUGAAAUAUAGACAAACCCUCGAGUUAAAUCCUUGCUUAUUUUUAAAUGGGGGUUACUAUGUUUAUAAAAUUUAUUUUCAAGAACUUAAUUUUUGUCCACUCACAUUUUCAACCUGUUUUUCGCCCCCAGGCCGUAGAAGUGCGCAGGAUCCACCACCGGGCCAUCUCUAGCUUCCGCGCCAUCAAGUAUUGAGUUUUGUGGAAAAGUUCUUGAAACUCUGUGAACUUUAGAAAAUGCUCUGAUAUCUAGUUUUAGUGGAAAACUGGAGUUGGUGAAUACUUGGUUAUUCUAUUCUGGUAGUUGGUGUGGAUUUAUUUGAUUGUUUAACAGGUGAAAAAAAGUUGGGUUUGGUCAAAAUACAGGGGAGACUCUGCCGAAUUUUCGGCAGAAGUCUAAGGGAAAAUUUAAAAAGAAUUUGAAACAAGAAGGGUAAAAAGGUCCUUUGUGCUAGACAUUCGUCAGGUGUCGGACACGCACAGGACUGGGCUCGAAUUCCGAAGUGGAAAUUGGGUCUGGUCCUGUCAGUGAAGGUAUCAUGCGAGCAGUUGCAGACCCCUUGGACAUCAACUUGUUGACCCCUUCGGUGCACUAAACAUGCUCGACAAAAGUCCCCAAAGAGAGAAAGGUGGGUUGAUGGGUUACUGCGAUCAUAUAAUGGGUGAGUGCGAUGGCAAUGGGUGAGUUUUAAUUUUGGAGAGAGAGAGAGAGAGAGAGAGAGAGAGAGAGAGAGAGAGAGAGAGAGAGAGAGAAAGAGAGGAGGAGAAAGGAUUAGGGUGGAUGUUGUUGUGAAAGAGAAGAUGGGAAGGUACUGAUUUUUCUUUUCUUUUUCAAAGUGGAACAUACCUUCUUUGUGUGAUGCUUUUGUCUUCUUUGCUUUCUAUAUGUUUUGUUUUCUAGUUUUCUCUGACUGUUACAAUUAUUAAUCUGCUGCAUUGGUUUUUCGUACCAUGUAGUGAGUUACAACUAAAUCGGAAAGUAAUAUUAAUUCACA
RNAcentral lists this long non-coding RNA (3255 nucleotides) under Prunus persica (peach). RNAcentral describes it as "long non-coding RNA (PPER_LNC000007)". Lineage: Eukaryota; Viridiplantae; Streptophyta; Magnoliopsida; Rosales; Rosaceae. The record is from RNAcentral.